GACGAACGCUGGCGGCGCGCUUAACACAUGCAAGUCGAACGGAAAGGCCUGCUUUCCCUUGUGGAUUGCGGGUACUCGAGUGGCGAACGGGUGAGUAACACGUGAGUGAUCUGCCCCCAACUUGGGUAUAAGCCUGGGAAACUGGGUCUAAUUCCCGAUAGGACUGCAGGGUGGUGCCUGUGGUGGAAAACGAUUUUCUAGUGGUUGGGGAUGAGCUCGCGGCCUAUCAGCUUGUUGGUGGGGUAAUGGACUACCAAGGCGGCGACGGGUAGCCGGCCUGAGAGGGUGGACGGCCACAGUGGGACUGAGAUACGGCCCAGACGCCUACGAGAGGCAGCAGUGGGGAAUAUGGCACAAUGAGCGGAAGCCUGAUGCAGCGACGCCGCGUGGGUGAUGACGGCCUUCGGGUUGUAAACUCCUUGCGACCGCGAGGAAGCCACCUGGUUGGAAGGGUGGUGACGGUAGUGGUAGAAGAAGCACCGGCUAACUACGUG
This 494-nucleotide ribosomal RNA is filed under the name uncultured bacterium. Its description in RNAcentral is "partial 16S ribosomal RNA". It matches the Rfam family "Bacterial small subunit ribosomal RNA", at positions 28 to 507 of the family's 1533-position model. The record is from RNAcentral.